UACGUAGGUCCCGAGUGUUGUCCGGAAUUAUUGGGCGUAAAGGGUACGCAGGCGGUUUAAUAAGUCGAAUGUUAAAGAUCGGGGCUCAACCCCGUAAAGCAUUGGAAACUGAUAAACUUGAGUAGUGGAGAGGAAAGUGGAAUUCCUAGUGUAGUGGUGAAAUACGUAGAUAUUAGGAGGAAUACCAGUAGCGAAGGCGACUUACUGGGCUCAUUCUGACGCUGAGGAACGAAAGCGUGGGUAGCAAACAGG
This 252-nucleotide ribosomal RNA is filed under the name uncultured bacterium. RNAcentral describes it as "partial 16S ribosomal RNA". It matches the Rfam family "Bacterial small subunit ribosomal RNA", at positions 524 to 776 of the family's 1533-position model. The record is from RNAcentral.